Molecule: long non-coding RNA, 737 nt
Organism: Mirounga angustirostris (Northern elephant seal)
Lineage: Eukaryota; Metazoa; Chordata; Mammalia; Carnivora; Phocidae
Exons: 4
Source: RefSeq, a predicted model, not a curated record
ACGGCCACCCGCUCUGCCCCCGCGGGCGCGGGGCCGGCCUGGCCCCCGGGGUCCGCGUCCCGAGCGGCUGUGCACUCACCGAGCCGGGCUGCGAGGGGCAGAGGGGCGCCCGCGGCUAGCCGGAGCGCCGGGGCGCCUCCCUUUUCUCUUGGUAGCGUCGGUCCGCACUCCCUGUGACCCAGGACGUCAUGAUGCCUGUCUGUUUUCUCAAUGACAACUUGGCAGAAGAAGAGAGAGGCUGCCAGGUUCUCCUCGGGUGGUUACGUGGCAGAGAAUCGGCACCAAGACAGCGAGGAGCAUCCACCCCGGGCCAGACACUCAUGUUCGCGGCUCGCACUUGCUGACUUGCAUCUCAGAUGCCUUCUCGAAUCAGCACGAAAGGUCUCAACAAUAACUCUGGAUAUUUGUUUCUGCAAACAUGAGAAUGUAUUUUACGUGGUGUGGCCACGUGACAGAACAGGAGAGGAGGAUUAUUGGUGUUCCCAUUCUACCCAAGGAAACUGAGGCACUGAGCAGUUAAGUAAUUUGCCCAGAGUUAUACAGCUGGGGUUCAAAAUCAGGUGCCUUGAGCCCUCACUAUCAAGCUCUUUGCUUACCUGCCUACUGAUUCAACUUCAUUUCUACCUCCUCACAUCUUGCAGUCAGGCUGCUCACCCAUUGCCCACUUCACCCUUUGUUAACCCCAAGGUCACUGCCCAAGCAUUCCAUGCCCCCUUCUGCCUCUUUGCUAUUCAAAU